UACGGAGGGGGCUAGCGUUGUUCGGAAUUACUGGGCGUAAAGCGCACGUAGGCGGCUGUUCAAGUCAGAGGUGAAAGCCUGGAGCUCAACUCCAGAACUGCCUUUGAAACUAGACAGCUUGAACACGGGAGAGGUGAGUGGAAUUCCGAGUGUAGAGGUGAAAUUCGUAGAUAUUCGGAAGAACACCAGUGGCGAAGGCGGCUCACUGGACCGGUAUUGACGCUGAUGGACGAAAGCGUGGGUAGCGAACAGG
RNAcentral lists this ribosomal RNA (253 nucleotides) under uncultured bacterium. RNAcentral's name for it is "partial 16S ribosomal RNA". It matches the Rfam family "Bacterial small subunit ribosomal RNA", at positions 524 to 776 of the family's 1533-position model. The record is from RNAcentral.